CACUGGUCAGUUUUCCUGCGCCGUAAAUAUAACGGGGCUAAGUGUGGCGCCGAAGCUGGAGGAAUCAUUACGAUUCGGUAGGGGAGCGUUCCAGCUGGAUUGAAGCGGGCGCGUGAGCAACCGUGGACCGGCUGGAAGUGAGAAUGCUGGCAUGAGUAGCGAGAUGGAGGGGAAGAGCCUCCACGCCGGAAGCCCAAGGUUUCCUAUCCCAGGAUCAUCCGGGUAGGGUCAGUCGGCCCCUAAGGUGUAGCUGAAAAGCGAAGCCGAUGGGAAGCUGGUUAAUAUUCCAGCACCGACAUGUUGGAGCAGAGCGAGGACGAAGAAGGGUACAUCGGCCGGUCAUUGGAUUCCGGUUCAAGCGUGUAGGCCGUUCGCGUAGGAACAAAACGCGCGAACAAGGCCGAGACGCGAUGUCGAAGCCCCUCGGGGCGAAGCGAUGGAUCCCAUGCUUCCUAGAAAGUCGCGGGCUGCGUGAGACAUGUCGACCGUACCGAAAACCGACUCAGGUGGGCAGGUGGAGAACACCGAGGCGAUCGAGAGAACCCAGGUUAAGGAACUAGGCAAAUUGACACCGUAACUUCGGGAGAAGGUGUGCCUCCGGUACGUGAAGCGCCUCGCGCGUGGAGCGGAAGGAGGUCGCAGUGAAGCGGCGGUAGCGACUGUUUAUCAAAAACACAGGACUCUGCGAAAGCGCAAGCUGACGUAUAGGGUCUGACGCCUGCCCGGUGCCGGAAGGUCAAGGGGAGCUGUCAGCGCAAGCGAAGCAGUGAACCGAAGCCCCGGUAAACGGCGGCCGUAACUAUAACGGUCCUAAGGUAGCGAAAUUCCUUGUCGGGUAAGUUCCGACCUGCACGAAUGGCGUAACGACUUCCGCGCUGUCUCGACCUGGGACUCGGCGAAAUUGACAUUGGGGUGAAGAUGCCCCAUACCCGCAGCAAGACGGAAAGACCCUGUGAACCUUUACUGUAGCUUGUCAGUGACGUUCGACUCAAGCUGUGUAGGAUAGGUGGGAGCCUGUGAACCCGGCACGCCAGUGUCGGUGGAGGCAUCGUUGAAAUACCACCCUGUUUGUGUUGGCCGUCUAACCCCCUCGGGGGGACACUGACUGGCAGGCAGUUUGACUGGGGCGGUCGCCUCCCAAAAGGUAACGGAGGCGCGCAAAGGUUCUCUCAGCCCGGACGGAAACCGGGCGUAGAGUGCAAUGGCAUAAGAGAGCUUGACUGUAAGGCCGACGGGCCGAGCAGGUGGGAAACCAGGCCAUAGUGAUCCGGUGGUUCCGCAUGGAAGGGCCAUCGCUCAACGGAUAAAAGGUACUCCGGGGAUAACAGGCUGAUCGCGCCCAAGAGUUCCUAUCGACGGCGCGGUUUGGCACCUCGAUGUCGGCUUCAUCGCAUCCUGGGGCUGGAGCAGGUCCCAAGGGUACGGCUGUUCG
This 1432-nucleotide ribosomal RNA is filed under the name marine metagenome. RNAcentral describes it as "bacterial LSU rRNA". It matches the Rfam family "Bacterial large subunit ribosomal RNA", at positions 1143 to 2583 of the family's 2925-position model. The record is from RNAcentral.